CUACGGGUCGCUGCAGUGAGGAAUAUUGCACAAUGGGGGGAACCCUGAUGCAGCAACGCCGCGUGGAGGAUGACGCAUUUCGGUGUGUAAACUCCUUUUAUAUGUCAAGAAAAUGACGGUAGCAUAUGAAUAAGCACCGGCUAACUCCGUGCCAGCAGCCGCGGUAAUACGGAGGGUGCAAGCGUUACUCGGAAUCACUGGGCGUAAAGGACGCGUAGGAGGGUUGGAAAGUCAGGUGUGAAAUCCUACAGCUUAACUGUAGAACUACACUUGAAACUUCUAAUCUAGAGUAUGGGAGGGGGAGAUGGAAUUAGUGGUGUAGGGGUAAAAUCCGUAGAUAUCACUAGGAAUACCUAAAGCGAAGGCGAUCUCCUGGAACAUUACUGACGCUAAGGCGUGAAAGCGUGGGGAGCAAACAGGAUUAGAUACCCCGGUAGUC
RNAcentral lists this ribosomal RNA (439 nucleotides) under uncultured bacterium. Its description in RNAcentral is "partial 16S ribosomal RNA". It matches the Rfam family "Bacterial small subunit ribosomal RNA", at positions 339 to 795 of the family's 1533-position model. The record is from RNAcentral.